UACGUAGGGACCAAGCGUUGUUCGGAUUUACUGGGCGUAAAGGGCGCGUAGGCGGCGCGGUAAGUCACUUGUGAAAUCUCUGAGCUUAACUCAGAACGGCCAAGUGAUACUGCAGUGCUAGAGUGUGGAAGGGGCAAUCGGAAUUCUUGGUGUAGCGGUGAAAUGCGCAGAUAUCAGGAGGAACACCGGUGGCGAAGGCGGAUCUCUGGGCCUUACCUGACGCUCAGGCGCGAAAGCUAGGGGAGCGAACAGG
RNAcentral lists this ribosomal RNA (253 nucleotides) under uncultured prokaryote. RNAcentral's name for it is "partial 16S ribosomal RNA". It matches the Rfam family "Bacterial small subunit ribosomal RNA", at positions 524 to 776 of the family's 1533-position model. The record is from RNAcentral.